AACGAACGCUGGCGGCAUGCCUAACACAUGCAAGUCGAACGAGACCUUCGGGUCUAGUGGCGCACGGGUGCGUAACGCGUGGGAACCUGCCCUUAGGUUCGGAAUAACUCCCCGAAAGGGGUGCUAAUACCGGAUAAUGUCUUCGGACCAAAGAUUUAUCGCCUUUGGAUGGGCCCGCGUUGGAUUAGCUAGUUGGUAGGGUAAAAGCCUACCAAGGCGACGAUCCAUAGCUGGUCUGAGAGGAUGAUCAGCCACACUGGGACUGAGACACGGCCCAGACUACUACGGGAGGCAGGAGUGGGGAAUAUUGGAAAAUGGGCGAAAGCCUGAUCAAGCAAUGCCGCGUGAGUGAUGAAGGCCUUAGGGUUGUAAAGCUCUUUUACACGGGAUGAUAAUGACAGUAACGGGAGAAUAAGCUCCGGCUAACUCCGUG
This 433-nucleotide ribosomal RNA is filed under the name uncultured bacterium. RNAcentral describes it as "partial 16S ribosomal RNA". It matches the Rfam family "Bacterial small subunit ribosomal RNA", at positions 29 to 507 of the family's 1533-position model. The record is from RNAcentral.